RNAcentral lists this ribosomal RNA (487 nucleotides) under uncultured bacterium. RNAcentral describes it as "bacterial SSU rRNA". It matches the Rfam family "Bacterial small subunit ribosomal RNA", at positions 409 to 916 of the family's 1533-position model. The record is from RNAcentral.
AGAAGGCCUUUGGGUUGUAAAGCUCUUUUGUAGGGGAAGAUAAUGACUGUACCCUAAGAAUAAGGUCCGGCUAACUUCGUGCCAGCAGCCGCGGUAAUACGAAGGGACCUAGCGUAGUUCGGAAUUACUGGGCGUAAAGCGCGCGUAGGCCGUUGAGUUAGUUAAUUGUGAAAUCCCAAAGCUUAACUUUGGAACUGCAAUUAAAACUGCUCGACUAGAGUUUGAUAGAGGAAAGCGGAAUACAUAGUGUAGAGGUGAAAUUCGUAGAUAUUAUGUAGAACACCAGUUGCGAAGGCGGCUUUCUGGAUCAACACUGACGCUGAGGCGCGAAAGUAUGGGUAGCAAAGAGGAUUAGAUACCCUCGUAGUCCAUACCAUAAACGAUGAUUGCUAGAUGUUGGAAAUUUAUUUUCAGUAUCGCAGCUAACGCAUUAAGCAAUCCGCCUGGGGAGUACGACCGCAAGGUUAAAACUCAAAUGAAUUGACGG